This is a long non-coding RNA of Cicer arietinum (chickpea), 2225 nucleotides long. RefSeq lists it as uncharacterized. NCBI's taxonomy places the organism in Eukaryota, Viridiplantae, Streptophyta, Magnoliopsida, Fabales, Fabaceae. The record is from RefSeq and is a predicted model, not a curated record.
UUUGUUUUCUCCUAAAUUUUGUUUUCACUUCCGCGCCGGCGACGAGUUGGUCCGGCGCAAUCCAAUUCCUAACCUAACAACGUUACAGUGAUGGGAACCGAGAAUUACACUUACAUGGGACAUAGUUUCAACGAAUUCACCAUCAACGACGACUUUACUUCUUCGGCUUUCAGCGAAUGUAACAGUGAUAGAUUCGGCGAAUUCGUCACCACUUCUUCACAAUCCCGACGACUCUUCAUUUCUUGUGCUUCCGAAAAUUCUGAUGAUUUCAUCCGUCAACUUGUUUCCGAUAUUCAAUAUUCUUCAAUUGAAGACCAGAAACAAGCCGCCAUAGAAAUUCGAUUACUCGCUAAAAAUAAACCAGAAAAUUGAAUCAGAAUCGCAAAAGCCGGCACAAUUAAACCAUUAAUUUCACUCGUUUCCUUGCAAGACCUUCAACUUCAAGAAUACGACAUCACCACGAUUUUGAAUCUCACUUUAUGUGACGAGAAUAAAGAUCUAAUAGCUUCUUCUGGAGCGAUUGAGCCUUUGGAAUGAUGGGCUCUGGGAAGACAACUGUGGGGAAGAUUAUAUCGCAAGUGCUUAGCUAUUCAUUUUGUGAUUGUUUGGAGUCUUGUGACCAAUAUGGCCGUAUGAACUUCUGAUUCAGGAAGCAAUGGUUGUUGGUCAAUCUUUCGCAUCCAUUAAGGGAUAUCAUCUUGAUGGGAACAUAGAAAUGUUGUGAAUAGGAAUCACGAACAUUGAUGGAUCCUUAACUUCAUGCUAUGUGACAACUGGUUCUUUUUCAAGGACAACAGUUAAUUAUAAUGCAGGAUGUCAAACAACAGUCUCAAAUAUUGUGAUGGCCAGUACUGUGAUUUUGUUCCUGCAAUUAUUUGCAAGGCUCCUAUACUAUACCCAUAUGGCUAUCCUUGCUGCUAUCAUCCUCUCUGCACUUCCUGGAUUAAUCGAUGUAAUUGAGGUUCACUGUAUCUGGAAGGUUGACAAGUUAGACUUUCUUUCCUGUGAUGGCCAAUACUGUGAUUUUGUUGCUGCAAUUAUUUGCAAGGCUCUUAUACUACACCCCUAUGGCUAUCCUUGUUGCUAUCAUCCUCUCUGCACUUCCUGGAUUAAUCGAUGUAAAUGAGGCUCACUAUAUCUGGAAGGUUGACAAAUUAGACUUUCUUUCCUAUAUUGAAGCUUUCGUUGGUGUCUUGUUUGCAUCUGUAGAGAUUGGUCUCCUUGUAGUUGAAUUCUAGGUAGAGUUCCAAGAACAGAAGCCUUCUGUGAUGUAACUCAAUAUCCGAUGGUUGUAAGCACGCCUGACAUCAUAGUGAUUCUCAUACGUUCUGGCUCACUCUGCUUUGGAAAUGCCAAUUUUGUCAAAUAAAGGCAAGCACUUAACAAAUGAUCUAGAAAGGGGUUUAACUCUAAUAACAACUAUGUAUGAACUUUUUUUUCACUUGUUCCAUAAUACUUUUUUUCACUUUUUAUAGCUGUAUUGCUAGAACUUCUACAUAUUUAUUUACAUCCAGAUUCUACUACCUACCCUUUAUGUGCGAAAGUGAAGGGUAAAAGAUGUGUAUAGUGUUCUCUAGUUUAUAGAGAUAUUUCUUGGAUACAAAUAUGCUACUAAUUUCAAUAGUAUCAUUUAUAAGCAUUUAUGUUGCCAAUCCUUACUAGUACAUUUUUCUUUUAUUCUUGCUCUCUAGUUCACAUAGCAGAUUAACUCACAGUUUGAUAAGUUUAGGAAUGAAUUUUUUUAUUGUUGUGAAAGUUUUUGCAAGUGGAACAAUUGCAAAAAUUAUGAGAAAUUGCUAGAAUAAUUUCCUGAUGGAGAGUAAUGUAGAACGUAAUGUGAAUGCUCUGGCAGCUGGAAGGAUUACAUGCAUUGAUCCCUUAGAACAGAUAAACUGAAGAUGCAUUCGCAUUGUCAAAAGUGUAGCAGUCGACCAUGGUAGAUGUGCCAUGUGCGGCGAACAAUGAAAUCUUUGGCUAGGGACGGUGAAUAAUAGAAGUCAUUCAAGUGAUUUGGUUGUGUUAAUUCAUAUGAAUCUUUUUGUGUUAAUCUUGGUUAUUAAUAUUAUUACUAUCUUUUAUGUAUACUCAGACUUGUGAUUUGUUUGUGUUUUCAUGUUUAGUAUAAUGUAUUGUCAACAUAGUUGAUGUCAUCAUGUGACUCUUUGGGUCGGGGCAUGUUCAUUUCGAUUAUGUCUAUAAUUAGAUUAUUGUCCUGGUUCUACUUA